GACGAACGCUGGCGGCGUGCUUAACACAUGCAAGUCGAACGGAAAGGCCCUGCUUUUGUGGGGUUCCCGCGUCGCGAAGGGGUGAGAAACACGUGAGUAACCUGCCCUGGACUUUGGGAUAACUUCAGGAAACUGGGGCUAAUACAGAAUAGGAGCUGCUGCUGCAGGGGGGGGGUUGGAAAGUUCCGGCGUAUAGGUAUGGACUCAGGGCUGAUCAGCUAGUUGGUGGGGUGAUGGCUUACCAAGCCGUCGACCGGUAGCCGGACAGUGAGGAUGAUCAGCCACCCUGGAACUGGGCCAGGGUCCAGACUCCUACGGGAGGCAGCAGUGUGCAAUAUUGGACAAUGGGGGAAAGCCUGACCCAGCCAUGCCGCGUGUGUGAAGAAGGUCUCCGGAUUGUAAAGCCGUUUUAGUGGUGAGGAAGGGCUUUAAGCUAAUACCUUGCUGUUUUGACGUUAACAAGAGAAUAAGCACCGGCUAACUUCGUG
This 488-nucleotide ribosomal RNA is filed under the name uncultured bacterium. RNAcentral's name for it is "partial 16S ribosomal RNA". It matches the Rfam family "Bacterial small subunit ribosomal RNA", at positions 28 to 507 of the family's 1533-position model. The record is from RNAcentral.